UUACGGCCAUAUCACGUUGAAAUAAUGGUUCCCUUACAAUUACCAAAGUUAAGCAACGUCGAGCCUGGUUAAUACCUAAAUGGGUGACCACUUAGGAAUAUCAGGUGCUGUAAG
This is a non-coding RNA of Acanthosepion pharaonis, 114 nucleotides long. NCBI's taxonomy places the organism in Eukaryota, Metazoa, Mollusca, Cephalopoda, Sepiida, Sepiidae. The record is from the annotation of a GenBank genome assembly.